Molecule: unclassified non-coding RNA, 148 nt
Filed under: rhizosphere metagenome
Description: partial ribosomal RNA internal transcribed spacer region
Source: RNAcentral
GUAGGUGAACCUGCGGAAGGAUCAUUAACAAUGGCGCACAAGAUAUAGGGCCGGUAGGUCCUAUAUCGUGUGAUGAGUGCUUUUAAGUUUGACAUAAUAAGAGUGAUUUUAAGUGAUACAACUUUUAACAACGGAUCUCUAGGCUCUU